RNAcentral lists this ribosomal RNA (254 nucleotides) under uncultured bacterium. RNAcentral's name for it is "partial 16S ribosomal RNA". It matches the Rfam family "Bacterial small subunit ribosomal RNA", at positions 524 to 776 of the family's 1533-position model. The record is from RNAcentral.
UACGUAGGGUGCAAGCGUUGUCCGGAAUUAUUGGGCGUAAAGAGCUCGUAGGCGGUUUGUCGCGUCUGCUGUGAAAACCCGAGGCUCAACCUCGGGCCUGCAGUGGGUACGGGCAGACUAGAGUGCGGUAGGGGAGAUUGGAAUUCCUGGUGUAGCGGUGGAAUGCGCAGAUAUCAGGAGGAACACCAAUGGCGAAGGCAGAUCUCUGGGCCGUAACUGACGCUGAGGAGCGGAAAGCAUGGGGAGCGAACAGG